CUUUAGUUGCCAUCAUUGAGUUGGGCACUCUAAAGAGACUGCCGGUGUCAAACCCGGAGGAAGGUGGGGAUGACGUCAAGUCCUCAUGGCCUUUAUGACCAGGGCUACACACGUACUACAAUGGCCGGUACAAAGGGCAGCGACACAGCGAUGUGAAGCCAAUCCCGAAAAGCCGGUCUCAGUCCGGAUUGGAGUCUGCAACUCGACUCCAUGAAGUUGGAAUCGCUAGUAAUCGCAGAUCAGCACGCUCGCGGUCCGAAUACGUUCCGGGCCUU
Molecule: ribosomal RNA, 275 nt
Filed under: uncultured Desulfocapsa sp.
Lineage: Bacteria; Pseudomonadati; Thermodesulfobacteriota; Desulfobulbia; Desulfobulbales; Desulfocapsaceae
Description: partial 16S ribosomal RNA
Rfam family: Bacterial small subunit ribosomal RNA
Source: RNAcentral